Long non-coding RNA from Ruditapes philippinarum (Manila clam), 915 nucleotides. RefSeq lists it as uncharacterized. The transcript is spliced from 2 exons. The record is from RefSeq and is a predicted model, not a curated record. NCBI's taxonomy places the organism in Eukaryota, Metazoa, Mollusca, Bivalvia, Venerida, Veneridae.
GUAGGAGCUAAGGAAGUGUCUGAACCAAUUCCUGUAGCAAACACGUUUGUUAUGCAACAGUGAUAAUUUGAUGUUUUAAUUUUAUGUUCAAAAUUUCAGGCAGUGGUGUUUGCAUUCAAGAAGGUGAAUGGGUACAGUCGGAAACGAGCAUGGGAAAGAUUCGAUAUAGGUGUAAGACGGACAAAAGAAGAGCUACAGAUCAUGCAUAAUGACUUAGUUAACUGAUGUGGAGUCCAUGUAUGUCAUUAUGCAUGAUCUGUCAAGGACAUACAAUGAUAUACAUAUAUCAUGUGAGUGGAUUUCAAAAAGAACGGAAUUCAUAGAUUUUGUCUCUUGUUGCCAUGGUAACCAUAUAUUUAAAUCUAAAUUUUCACUGCACAAUGACCUGUGAAACUGUAUGAUUGAUUGUGAUUUAAAAAUACGUUUUUGAUAUUGUUAAAUUGAAAUGUGAGGUAUAAUUAAUAAUUUCAAGUUUUUGUUUAUGGUCAAUAAUUUUCAUUUCUGAGAUUGAAACUUGAUUAUGUGGAUACAUGAGCCACACCCAUUUUCAUGUCAAAAUGUCAAUGUGAACACAUUUAUUCAAGUUUUCUAUUUAUUUAGAAAAGUUUAAGUUAUUAUCCAGUACUGAGAAAAGGGGAGCACACUAAUCCUCUGACAGCUCUUGUUAAGUUCUGGUAUGUUGGUAAACCAAACUGUAAAAGUUAUAUGACCAAGUUUAUAUUGUUGUGAUCUUAUAUAACCCAGCUUGAUAGGCAAAGGUUAUAUUGGUUAUUAUGUAAAGUUCUGGUAUUUUGGUAGACCAAACUAUAAAAAUUAUAUGACCCAGUUUAUAUUGUUGUAAACUAACUUAUAUAACCCAACCUACUAGGCAAGGGUUAUAUAGCAAACAACCAUUUAGUCAUGACCAUAUAACCA